This is a non-coding RNA of Xiphophorus hellerii (green swordtail), 456 nucleotides long. NCBI's taxonomy places the organism in Eukaryota, Metazoa, Chordata, Actinopteri, Cyprinodontiformes, Poeciliidae. The record is from the annotation of a RefSeq genome assembly.
CCUGACAGUCGAACACUGAAUGACUGACAGCUGUCCUUCAUCACAACUGAAGACAAAGAAAUCCUCUUCAUCAAAAACAUGACUUUGAUCUGCGUCCUCAUCUGGACUCUCCUCUGCUGCUGCUUCACAGAGGUCAGAGGUCAGGUCACAGUGACUCAACAGCCUGAAGCAAUGAGAGCUAAUCUGGGAGGAUCUGCCACCAUCAGAUGUAAAACCAGUCAGAAUAUUUAUAGCAACUAUUUCUCCUGGUUCCAACAGAAAGAUGGACAAACUCCUAAGCUCCUCAUUUAUUAUAUCAACUCUCGAGCAUCAGGGAUUCCAAGUCGUUUCUCAGGCAGUGGAUCAAACUCUGACUUCACUCUGACCAUCAGUGGAGUUCAGGCUGAAGAUGCUGCAGUUUAUUACUGUAUGGGUCAAUUCUACAUCAGCAGCAAGCAUUCAUUCACACAGUGAAAA